CUUCCCAUACCGAACAGGGCAGUUAAGCCCGCCAGCGCCGAUGGUACUAGGGUAAAACCAGGGAGAGUAGGACACCGCCCGUU
This 83-nucleotide ribosomal RNA is filed under the name Bacteroidota bacterium. Lineage: Bacteria; Pseudomonadati; Bacteroidota. The record is from RNAcentral.